This is a non-coding RNA of Kogia breviceps (pygmy sperm whale), 321 nucleotides long. The record is from RefSeq and is a predicted model, not a curated record. Lineage: Eukaryota; Metazoa; Chordata; Mammalia; Artiodactyla; Physeteridae.
AGCAAGAAGCGGACGGUCUCGAUCUCUCCAAAGGCGGAGGCCCAGAUGAGGGGGGUGAAGCCUCGCUCGUCCGGCUUGUUGAUGAGGGUGGAGAUGGAAGACACAUCCAAGGACACAAAGACAGAAGUCCCAUCUUGGGCCUGACAUUCCACCAUUCUUGCAUCGCAGAAGCAGGAGUCCAGGGUUUUCCCGGACGGAGCCAGUUGGCUCCACCUUCGGACAGACGGCGACCCCGUCCAUAACAGUGUCUCCUGUGCGGUCCUGGGGGCUCAGGAGUAUGUGCAGGAAUUUGGUGGCAGCAGAGGGGUACAAGAAGGGAGU